This 115-nucleotide ribosomal RNA is filed under the name Danio rerio (zebrafish). Lineage: Eukaryota; Metazoa; Chordata; Actinopteri; Cypriniformes; Danionidae. The record is from RNAcentral.
GCCGGCAGCUAGCUCUCUGCAACUCUCACAUGGUCGCCCACUGAAGCUAAGCAGGGCUGCGCCCUGUCAGUACCUGGAUUGGAGACCACAUGGGAAAGCUAGGUUGCUGCCGGAA